Molecule: ribosomal RNA, 495 nt
Filed under: uncultured bacterium
Lineage: Bacteria
Description: partial 16S ribosomal RNA
Rfam family: Bacterial small subunit ribosomal RNA
Source: RNAcentral
GACGAACGCUGGCGGCGUGCCUAAUACAUGCAAGUAGAACGCUGAAGGAGGAGCUUGCUUCUCUGGAUGAGUUGCGAACGGGUGAGUAACGCGUAGGUAACCUGCCUGGUAGCGGGGGAUAACUAUUGGAAACGAUAGCUAAUACCGCAUAAGAGUAGAUGUUGCAUGACAUUUGCUUAAAAGGUGCACUUGCAUCACUAGCAGAUGGACCUGCGUUGUAUUAGCUAGUUGGUGGGGUAACGGCUCACCAAGGCGACGAUACAUAGCCGACCUGAGAGGGUGAUCGGCCACACUGGGACUUAGACACGUCCCAGACUCCUACGGGGUCCCGCACUAGUCACUCUUCGACAAUGGACGAAAGUCUGACCGAGCAACUCCGCGUGAGUGAAGAAGGUUUUCAUAUCGUAAAGCUCUGUUGUAAGAGAAGAACACGUAUAAGAGUGGAAAGUUCACACUGUAACGGUAUCUUACCAGAAAGGGACGGCUAACUACGUG